RNAcentral lists this ribosomal RNA (366 nucleotides) under Triticum aestivum (bread wheat). RNAcentral's name for it is "partial small subunit ribosomal RNA". The record is from RNAcentral. Lineage: Eukaryota; Viridiplantae; Streptophyta; Magnoliopsida; Poales; Poaceae.
AUGAAUGGUGAGAGAAGAGUCCAUUGGAUAUCCUGGCAGAAGAUGUGUGCUAGUAAGAGAGAUGGUGGCAUGGGGUUCCGAAACUUCGAGGCCUUCAACCAAGCUUUGCUGGCCAAGCAAGCUUGGCAUAUUUUGCAAUUCCCAACCUCUCUAUGUGCAAGAGUUCUCAAGGCUCGUUACUUCAAGGAGGACACGAUCCUCUCUGCUUCCUGUCCGGCGGUGGGCUCUUUCACUUUUCGAAGCAUCCUGCACGGCCGUGACCUUCUUCGUGAGGGCAUCAUAUGGAGAGUUGGCUCGGGGAUGAACAUAAACAUCCACCAUGACGCCUGGAUCCCACACAGCGGCAGCACGAGACCCCUUGGGUAA